RNAcentral lists this ribosomal RNA (795 nucleotides) under uncultured bacterium. RNAcentral's name for it is "bacterial SSU rRNA". It matches the Rfam family "Bacterial small subunit ribosomal RNA", at positions 8 to 796 of the family's 1533-position model. The record is from RNAcentral.
AGAGUUUGAUCCUGGCUCAGAUUGAACGCUGGCGGCAUGCUUUACACAUGCAAGUCGAGCGGCAGCGCGGGGGCAACCCUGGCGGCGAGCGGCGAACGGGUGAGUAAUGCAUCGGAACGUGUCCCGUAGUGGGGGAUAACCCGGCGAAAGCCGGACUAAUACCGCAUAUGCUCUACGGAGGAAAGGGGGGGACCCGCAAGGGCCUCCCGCUAUGGGAGCGGCCGAUGUCCGAUUAGCUUGUUGGUGGGGUAAUGGCUUACCAAGGCGACGAUCGGUAGCUGGUCUGAGAGGAUGAUCAGCCACACUGGGACUGAGACACGGCCCAGACUCCUACGGGAGGCAGCAGUGGGGAAUUUUGGACAAUGGGGGCAACCCUGAUCCAGCCAUGCCGCGUGCGGGAAGAAGGCCUUCGGGUUGUAAACCGCUUUUGUCCGGAAAGAAAAGGCGCUCCCUAAUACGGGGCGUUCUUGACGGUACCGGAAGAAUAAGCACCGGCUAACUACGUGCCAGCAGCCGCGGUAAUACGUAGGGUGCGAGCGUUAAUCGGAAUUACUGGGCGUAAAGCGUGCGCAGGCGGUUCGCAAAGUCUGAUGUGAAAGCCCCGGGCUCAACCUGGGAACUGCAUUGGAAACUAACGGGCUCGAGUGUGGCAGAGGGGGGUGGAAUUCCACGUGUAGCAGUGAAAUGCGUAGAGAUGUGGAGGAACACCGAUGGCGAAGGCAGCCCCCUGGGCUAACACUGACGCUCAGGCACGAAAGCGUGGGGAGCAAACAGGAUUAGAUACCCUAGUAGUCC